This 718-nucleotide long non-coding RNA is filed under the name Homo sapiens (human). RNAcentral's name for it is "HSALNT0383008". Lineage: Eukaryota; Metazoa; Chordata; Mammalia; Primates; Hominidae. The record is from RNAcentral.
CACCGGGACCCGCGAGCGGGAUCAGGGCUGGGGGAUUAGCAGAGCCGCUUGCGAGGCUGACCCUCUCCAGGAUGCCCCAUGUAAACCUGGAUCAUUCCUUCCUUCUGAGUACGGGGCAGGACUCUCUCUGGGAUGGAGGGGUCUUAGGACCUGCAAGCAAACAAGCACAGAGGCAGUAGUAGAAGCCAUGAGUCUGAUAAGUUUGCUGAAGGAGAGAGUGUGCUAUGAGGACGGAUCGUUGACAAGACCCUGGAGGACACAAGGACCUAAGAGCCCCUAAGAGGAGACAGAGAAGGUGCUGUCCCACAAAGUGCAAGAUGUCCCAGGAGAGAGGUGUCCAGGGGAUGACUGUGCGGGGGAAGCUCCGAAGUGGACAAGUCAACGAGCACCGGAAGGUGUCCCAGGGAUCUGGCAAUCAAGAGGCCAUCAGUGAGCCAGGCAGGACUCAGCCCACCUGCACUGAGGUGAAAUAAACAGCUUUAUUGCUCACACAAAGCCUGUUGGUGGACUCUCUUCACAUUGAUGCGCGUGACAUUUUGUGCUGUGACUUGGAUUGGGGGCCCUUCCUUGGGAGAUCAAUCCCCUGUCCUCCUGCUCUUUGCUCCAGGAGAAAGAUCCACCACGACCUUGGGUCUUCGGACCAACCAGCCCAAGGAACAUCUCACCAAUUUUAAAUCGGACAGGAAUGUCAGGCCUCUGAGCCCAAGCGAAGCCAUCA